This is a non-coding RNA of Aspergillus saccharolyticus JOP 1030-1, 106 nucleotides long. The record is from the annotation of a RefSeq genome assembly. NCBI's taxonomy places the organism in Eukaryota, Fungi, Ascomycota, Eurotiomycetes, Eurotiales, Aspergillaceae.
GGGACGAUGGCGCAUCUGGGAGCGCGUCAGACUGAAGUACAAACUUCGGCCGCAGGACUCAGUCCUAGUAAUCUGAAGGUGGCCGGUUCAAGCCCGGCUCGUCCCA